This 269-nucleotide ribosomal RNA is filed under the name uncultured prokaryote. RNAcentral describes it as "partial 16S ribosomal RNA". It matches the Rfam family "Bacterial small subunit ribosomal RNA", at positions 524 to 792 of the family's 1533-position model. The record is from RNAcentral.
UACGUAGGGGGCAAGCGCUGUCCGGAUUCACUGGGCGUAAAGGGUGUGUAGGCGGACUGGUGGGUCGAUGGUGAAAGCUCACGGCUCAACCGGGAAAUGGCUGUCGAAACUACCAGUCUUGAGGGCAGGAGAGGAAACUGGAACUUCCGGUGUAGCGGUAGAAUGCGUAGAUAUCGGAAGGAACGCCAAUAGCGAAGGCAGGUUUCUGGAAUGCACCUGACGCUGAGACACGAAAGCUAGGGGAGCGAACAGGAUUAGAUACCCGCGUA